This 451-nucleotide ribosomal RNA is filed under the name uncultured bacterium. RNAcentral's name for it is "partial 16S ribosomal RNA". It matches the Rfam family "Bacterial small subunit ribosomal RNA", at positions 29 to 523 of the family's 1533-position model. The record is from RNAcentral.
AGCGAACGCUGGCGGCAGGCUUAACACAUGCAAGUCGAGCGGGCGUAGCAAUACGUCAGCGGCAGACGGGUGAGUAACGCGUGGGAACGUACCUUUUAGUUCGGAACAACACAGGGAAUCUUGUGCUAAUACCGGAUAAGCCCUUACGGGGAAAGAUUUAUCGCCGAAAGAUCGGCCCGCGUCUGAUUAGCUAGUUGGUGAGGUAACGGCCCACCAAGGCGACGAUCAGUAGCUGGUCUGAGAGGAUGAUCAGCCACAUUGGGACUGAGACACGGCCCAAACUCCUACGGGAGGCAGCAGUGGGGAAUAUUGGACAAUGGGGGCAACCCUGAUCCAGCCAUGCCGCGUGAGUGAUGAAGGCCCUAGGGUUGUAAAGCUCUUUUGUGCGGGAAGAUAAUGACGGUACCGCAAGAAUAAGCCCCGGCUAACUUCGUGCCAGCCGCCGCCGUAA